Molecule: ribosomal RNA, 253 nt
Filed under: uncultured bacterium
Lineage: Bacteria
Description: partial 16S ribosomal RNA
Rfam family: Bacterial small subunit ribosomal RNA
Source: RNAcentral
UACAGAGGUCUCAAGCGUUGUUCGGAUUCAUUGGGCGUAAAGGGUGCGUAGGCGGCGCGGUAAGUCGGGUGUGAAAUCUUGGAGCUUAACUCCGAAACUGCAUUCGAUACUGCCGUGCUUGAGGACUGGAGAGGAGACUGGAAUUUACGGUGUAGCGGUGAAAUGCGCAGAUAUCGUGAGGAAGACCAGUGGCGAAGGCGGAUCUCUGGACAGCUCCUGACGCUGAGGCGCGAAGGCUAGGGGAGCAAACGGG